CUCCUCAUCAUUGAAACAAGAGAGGAAGGAGAAAGCUAAAGGAAGUCCUGACUGUAUGUGCUGCUCCAGAGAGUGCGAGGCAUCACUUGUAGGCUGCUGCCUCCAGUCUCCCACACAGUCAGCCAGGCAGAGGUUACCAUGGGUUGCUGAGGUUGCUGAGGUUGCUCGUGGACGUUCUCUGCUGGGCUGGCGGGUGAAGCUAAAAUGGAUGACAGGAGACGACAUUAGUUAAUUCCAGCAGAGCCGUCGGCCGAGGCUGUGAGGACGAACAACCCGUCGGCCACCUCGAGGACGUCCACACUUACUAAUGCUCUCUCAUGAGCUCUCCAGCUCUGCAGCAGAGGAGGCCGCUCACACACUGGCUGUGUGGAAAAAGAACACCUCAGGUGUGCGUCUGUCCAGUGACGCUCCAAAAGCAGAGGCAGCCAGCCUGCGAUGAGACCAGGACACCUCUGUUUCUCAGCUUUCUGUUGCUGGCCCGGUGCUGCAGGAACAAGAGGUCAUCCACAGGGGGCACCGCUCUAGAUGCACACAAACAGGACAAAAACAAACAGGCCACAACAAAUGGAUGCCACCCAGUAAAGAUGCAGAACUCUUACCAAAAAAAGUGGUUUACCACCAGACUAGAGCUAGUGUUUGUGAUUGCGGGGUUGGGAGAUAAUUAAUGGGAUAGGAAAGAAGAAAAAACAAACUACAGAAAUUUGUAUUUGUUAUUUCGCCUUUUCUCAAAUCUUUGCUUCUUUUAUGGGGAAUAAUUGGAUAAUUUUACCUCUUGAAUGUGACAAAGGGCCCUAACUAGACACCCAUUUGUGCCCGCAACUGAAACCUUUAUUUCCUUGAGUGGAAGUGUUCAAAUUUGAAGCUCAAAUGUGAAGACAUUUUCAAAAUCUGUCAAACUGUUUGGCUGAAAAGUAAAUUUUUCUUAUCAUACUAUAUCUAGUAUUUGGGCACAUGGGACUACUGUUUUUUACAAUAGACUCCAUUAUAU
Molecule: long non-coding RNA, 988 nt
Organism: Sebastes umbrosus (honeycomb rockfish)
Lineage: Eukaryota; Metazoa; Chordata; Actinopteri; Perciformes; Sebastidae
Exons: 4
Source: RefSeq, a predicted model, not a curated record